Molecule: long non-coding RNA, 935 nt
Filed under: Anser brachyrhynchus (Pink-footed goose)
Lineage: Eukaryota; Metazoa; Chordata; Aves; Anseriformes; Anatidae
Description: lncRNA (ENSABRG00000019870.1)
Source: RNAcentral
UCCUGGCUGGCUGACAGGUGUCCUCCACUGCUACGGCCUGGGACUGCAGGGUGUCCCUGGCCACAGAGGGUGCCCAGCAUGCUAAACACACAGGCUUGAUGGAGAGGGGUGCUCCCAUACAGUCACGCUCCUGAGGCCAUUCUCUGGUCUGAGACUGGGCAAGUGGCAGGGCGGCCGCCAUUGAGAGCCAUGCUGAAACAGUGCUUACAGAUGUGAGACCAGCAGCAGCGGCAGAAAGGCUUUGUCAACACCAGCAAAUCACUGUUUCUACCUCUGCAAGGUCAGCUUCUGAAGGCAACGUGUUCAAGACCACAGCUCCACAACCGGUGUCCAUGAUUUAUGCCAUUAUAGCAUGCCAUAUGGAACUCCUCUGGGAUAUGGCAGAAUCAGUGUGGCUUUUGCAAAGGUGUGUGUUUGCUUAUCUAGCUCUGUGUUGGUUUUCUCAUCACUUUAAAAUAUACUUCCAGCAAUAACAUUUGGUUUUCAUAGCUGUGUAUAUCUGAACCUAAUGUAACAUUACCAGUCUACUCUUGCAAGAUCAUAAAAAUCUGGGUAUUAAUGAUUGCAUUAAAAGGAAGCAAAAAGUAGAUUAAAUAACUCAACAAAGCUUUGACCAAGCUUGCAUUUGAAUGGAGAAUUCCUGGCCAUAUAUUCCUGCCCCUAAACCUCACUUACAGAUAAGAAAUGACAUAUAUUCACAAAAUGUGUUCAUACAGAGACUGUUCUGCUUGAGAGCCUGAAUAACAGGUUUUGCUGCACGUUGAAAUAUGACUAGUGCUCUCAGGUGACAGGCUGCUUGGGGUCACAGCUGGCGCACUCACGGCCUGCUCCAGGCCUUUUUUGGAGGCUACUGCAGCCAUCUUCAGGCUGUCCCAUCGCUUGGGACGUGCCUUGGAAUUUUGUGGAGAGGAGAGUGGUUUUCUCUGACUUGUAGU